UACGAACUGCGCAAACGUUAUUCGGAAUCACUGGGCUUAAAGAGUCCGUAGGCGGCUUUGUAGGUGAGGUGUGAAAUCCCACGGCUCAACCGUGGAAUUGCGCUUCAAACCGCAUCGCUAGAGUGAGAUAGAGGAGAGCGGAACUCACGGUGGAGCGGUGAAAUGCGUUGAUAUCGUGAGGAACACCGGUGGCGAAAGCGGCUCUCUGGGUCUUUUCUGACGCUGAGGGACGAAAGCUAGGGGAGCGAACGGG
RNAcentral lists this unclassified non-coding RNA (253 nucleotides) under uncultured Pirellulaceae bacterium. RNAcentral describes it as "contains 16S-23S intergenic spacer region". It matches the Rfam family "Bacterial small subunit ribosomal RNA", at positions 524 to 776 of the family's 1533-position model. The record is from RNAcentral. Lineage: Bacteria; Pseudomonadati; Planctomycetota; Planctomycetia; Pirellulales; Pirellulaceae.